UACGUAGGGUGCAAGCGUUAAUCGGAAUUACUGGGCGUAAAGCGUGCGCAGGCGGUGAUGUAAGACAGUUGUGAAAUCCCCGGGCUCAACCUGGGAACUGCAUCUGUGACUGCAUUGCUGGAGUGCGGCAGAGGGGGAUGGAAUUCCGCGUGUAGCAGUGAAAUGCGUAGAUAUGCGGAGGAACACCGAUGGCGAAGGCAAUCCCCUGGGCCUGCACUGACGCUCAGGCACGAAAGCGUGGGGAGCAAACAGG
Molecule: ribosomal RNA, 253 nt
Filed under: uncultured bacterium
Lineage: Bacteria
Description: partial 16S ribosomal RNA
Rfam family: Bacterial small subunit ribosomal RNA
Source: RNAcentral